Amphibalanus amphitrite is the source of this 1377-nucleotide long non-coding RNA. RefSeq lists it as uncharacterized. Lineage: Eukaryota; Metazoa; Arthropoda; Thecostraca; Balanomorpha; Balanidae. The transcript is spliced from 3 exons. The record is from RefSeq and is a predicted model, not a curated record.
UGAGCUCAGCAGUCGAGUAAGUUGUGCCAAAAAUACCAGAAGCGAUAUCCUAUAUACGGCCUUGACCAGAAAUGUUGCAUGCCCUGGAUGCAGAAAAACAAGAUUGAGAUGAGUGGAUCAAGAUGUAUCUUUCGUGCAGAUGUAUCAAGAUGUAGGUACCUUUCACUUAAGAUCCAUGCAGGUGAGGUUCCAGUGAAAUUUCAAUUCGAUAGGCAGCUAUUUUUGUUUUUGCUUUGAUACUUGUGGUAAGGAAACAUGAUUAUGGUUGCAUGAACCGCCCACUGCUCAUUGCUGUCUUGUCUCGGGUUCGGUAUCCGAUCACCAUUCUUAAAUAGCUCACCCCAUAUGGAAAUCAGGUUUCAGGAGGCCACUAGGCCUGUGGGGCCUGGUCUCAAUGAGCUCCCAGUGCUAAGGACAGUCAGGCUCAUAUGUUGGGCGCAAGCUUUGGAUGAACUUCUGCUUCUGCAGUCGGCAUUCUUACAGGGGAACCCAAGAUUCACUGUACCUGUAUGCAUUUCAAAACUGAAUAAUUGAUAGCAACAAGUCAAUAUUUGAAGUUGCAGCCAAAUGCUGUGCCUUCUCUGCUGCAAGAGCUACAUGUCACCAUUGAAGCAAGGACCAGCUCGACUCCUGCAGUAGGAGUCCAGCCUCGUCCAGUCGUCGCCGCUCGCCAAGACCAGCCGGACUCCUGCAAUAGGGGUCCAGGCUGACCCGUUCGUCCAGUAACCGCCGCUCGUCAGCACCAGCUGGGCUCCUGUAGUAGGGGUCCAGCCUCGUCCAGUCGCCGCCGCUCGCCAAGACCAGCUGGGCUCCUGUAGUAUGGGGCUAGGAUGGCCCGUUCAUCAACCGGUCCUGAAGUCACAUCGCUGUCAGCCAGCCGAACCCAGUACAUAAGUCACCAACCCUGAAUGUUGCCAGCCAAAGUCGGCAGUUUCCUUCGGACAGUCAUCUCACCAGUGUUGUACAGUGUACGAGGUUAGUGACGCAGUUAAAUGCGUCAAUUAAAUGCGAGGACGUGCGCUUGUAUGCAGCGUUUUGUCAUGUUGAGCUGCAAGGGUGUCGAUUUUCACCGAAUUGAGGGUGCCCACUGCCCGGGCGCAGCAAAUCCGCCGCCGCCUCAGCGGUGACCUUGACCCGACCGUCUGUUGGGGCUCCAAAGCCCCCCUGUUUGGCCAAUCUGCUCUCAAACGGGUCAUCUUUACUCAUAUUUUAUUUACAUGAACGCUUUGCAUGGUCCAGUGGUUUAUAUAGACAUCUUCCUUGCACUAGCUAGUUUUAUGUGGCCAGGUUGAUUGCCUGUCAGCGCGGUCACGCUGUCGUCUUUCGAUUGGUGCGCUUAAAUGCGGCGAGAUGAAUAUAGGAUUUCCUUUGAUGCUA